Long non-coding RNA from Sinocyclocheilus anshuiensis, 374 nucleotides. RefSeq lists it as uncharacterized. The record is from RefSeq and is a predicted model, not a curated record. Lineage: Eukaryota; Metazoa; Chordata; Actinopteri; Cypriniformes; Cyprinidae. The transcript has 3 exons.
UGUACUGUGGUCAGCAGUUGUCUGGACUCUCAAGGGCCUGUUGUGCACAUGGAGGUUUUUCUGGGUCAGCCCAUAUUGUGCUCUAAAAUCUGCACCAUUAACACAGCAUGCAGCUGACACUGACCAUAAAUUACCAUCCAAACUGUCCCCAGCUGUCCAGGAUGUCAAGCAUCUGGCAAGGACAGAUGUAAAUGCAGACUCAGAGAAGAAGGUCAAACCAGAAAACUGUGUUAAGCCUGAACGCACAAGUGGCCUGUUCAAGAGACUGCUAAAGGCUGAGGGGGAGAUUCAAGAACUGAAGAUAGAGAUUGAAAAUCAGAGAGCAUCAUGGGAGAUGCGGUUUGUGGAGCUGUAAAAGAGACAACAUAAUCUAA